GCUUGUAGACUGUGAAGAGACCUUGGUCUAAUAGUAUAAUAGACAAUCUUGAUGCUUUUCUUGGCUUUGCUGGUUUAGGUGCUUGAUCCUGCUUUUCAGUAUCAGCAACUUUGUUCUGCUUCUCCAGGUGACAGGGCUCUCCUUUCUCUUCCAAGUCUUGCAAUUGGUUCUCCUCGCCGGCACCUUCAGUUAAAUCCAAGUCGCAGAAGUGACUGCUUGAUCGACUCAUUGUCCUCUCGAGAUAAUGGUUUAAAGGAGGAAUGUUGAAUAAAUCUUUAUUCUGG
This 284-nucleotide unclassified non-coding RNA is filed under the name Hevea brasiliensis (rubber tree). Lineage: Eukaryota; Viridiplantae; Streptophyta; Magnoliopsida; Malpighiales; Euphorbiaceae. The record is from RNAcentral.